GCGCGUAGAGGGAAGGCCGAAGGCGGCGCGUUGCUAAGUUGUUGUGGCGGUGGCUUAGUUUCCAGAAACCCUAGGGUUUUUGUUUGUGAUUUUUUGGUUUUGGGCUUAGGAGAUUUGGGCCAGGGUUAGGUGUCGGGCUAAUUGGGUUAGUUUUGGGUAAUUUAGGUUGAAAUGAUUUGGGCUAUGUAUUUGUAAUUCAGGUUUGGGCUAAUUGGGCUAUUUGGGUUUUUAAUGGAUUAAUAGUUUGUAAAUGGACUGUUUUAUGGGACAUUUAUUCUAUUUUUUGAUUAUUUAUUUAUUUGUUUUUUUAUAUAUAAGGUGUAUGGGCCCAGGCUAAAAUUGGGUAUUACAUUAACUACAACAACUCGGUAUUUUAUGAUGAUCAAUGUUGAACUAUGGCAUGUAUAGGGACUUAGUCAUUUUGAAU
RNAcentral lists this long non-coding RNA (427 nucleotides) under Gossypium raimondii (Peruvian cotton). Its description in RNAcentral is "long non-coding RNA (GRAI_LNC008159)". The record is from RNAcentral. Lineage: Eukaryota; Viridiplantae; Streptophyta; Magnoliopsida; Malvales; Malvaceae.